Molecule: ribosomal RNA, 542 nt
Filed under: Bifidobacterium animalis subsp. lactis
Lineage: Bacteria; Bacillati; Actinomycetota; Actinomycetes; Bifidobacteriales; Bifidobacteriaceae
Description: bacterial SSU rRNA
Rfam family: Bacterial small subunit ribosomal RNA
Source: RNAcentral
UGGUAAUACCGGAUGCUCCGCUCCAUCGCAUGGUGGGGUGGGAAAUGCUUUUGCGGCAUGGGAUGGGGUCGCGUCCUAUCAGCUUGUUGGCGGGGUGAUGGCCCACCAAGGCGUUGACGGGUAGCCGGCCUGAGAGGGUGACCGGCCACAUUGGGACUGAGAUACGGCCCAGACUCCUACGGGAGGCAGCAGUGGGGAAUAUUGCACAAUGGGCGCAAGCCUGAUGCAGCGACGCCGCGUGCGGGAUGGAGGCCUUCGGGUUGUAAACCGCUUUUGUUCAAGGGCAAGGCACGGUUUCGGCCGUGUUGAGUGGAUUGUUCGAAUAAGCACCGGCUAACUACGUGCCAGCAGCCGCGGUAAUACGUAGGGUGCGAGCGUUAUCCGGAUUUAUUGGGCGUAAAGGGCUCGUAGGCGGUUCGUCGCGUCCGGUGUGAAAGUCCAUCGCCUAACGGUGGAUCUGCGCCGGGUACGGGCGGGCUGGAGUGCGGUAGGGGAGACUGGAAUUCCCGGUGUAACGGUGGAAUGUGUAGAUAUCGGGAAAA